Malus domestica (apple) is the source of this 1756-nucleotide non-coding RNA. NCBI's taxonomy places the organism in Eukaryota, Viridiplantae, Streptophyta, Magnoliopsida, Rosales, Rosaceae. The record is from RefSeq and is a predicted model, not a curated record.
GCGUCGAUUGCCUCGAUUUUCUUCUCGACUUUUUCCUUCCGUUUCCACUAUUCUUUCUCACAAUUCUCUGCUUUUGUUUCUCUCACUCUCCGACCUUGCGAUCUCAAUCACGAAAAUCUGCUUCUAUCACACUCCUAUUGCCACUGCAGCAGAGGCAUGAGUACCGCGCGUAUUUCUACGAAGUCUUCAAGCUUUACACAAAGCUAUGGAUCGCAAGACACUCCUCCCUCUGUUCUCUCACGAAUCUUCAGCUUUGUCUCUUUCACUCUUGAGGUACCUGCCGCUGUUACCGAUCUGUAGGUUAGGGAUAAGUUCGCAGCCAAACUCAAGAGUGAAACAACCUGUUUGCUCUGUUUUUUUUGUGGGACUACAAUUCCAGAUUCUUAUGGCAACAUGUCUAAACUGUUCAAGUUGAGUUUGAGAAACUGCAACUUGCAAGGGCCUAUUCCUGAUUUGAGUACGAUUCCAAACCUUGGUUAUGCAAAGGUUUAAGUUUAAUUGUGUAAAAAAAAGGAGAGAUUGAUCGCCGUUACUCAUAGCUGUGUUUCAAGAAACAAGUUUAUUUCUUGCCAAUUUUGUGUACCCACUUUUUAUUCAUGAUGGUUAGUGCUCGCUUGCAACCUAAUUUGCUGCUAUAAAGUUUUGUGUUUUACAAUCUGUUCAUGCUUAAACCUCUUCCAAUUUUGCAAUUCUAUGUAAAUCUUGCAAGUCAAGAUAGGACACCUAUCUGGGCAAUGUUGGGAUGUCUAGGCUUUCGUGGAGACGUAGACUUAUGGAAGAGGUCAAUCAAGCAAAUAAGAUUCAAAAAGAAAACUCCACAUUUGUUGCCAGCAAUGCUCAUGGGGAGAAGUAUAGGAAACCAAAGCCUACAAAUCUGAAGCCUUUUAGGUUUAGAACGGAUGAAAGACGGAUGUUUAAGGAAGCAACUUUGGAGAAAAAAGCUCAUGCACCACUGAAGUAGAUCACAUUAGUCAGGAAUCCAGGAGCAAAGUCAACAAGCAAACAUCAGAAUGUGAUACAGAUGAAAGUUUCAAUCUUCAGCAACAAGGAGAAAUGAGUCGGCCGGAGGACUCUGAAAGAUGAUUGUUGUUGUUGCUGCUAUAGAUAUGCUGGCGGAUCCUGUGGAGGGAGAGUUAAGCUUGGAUUGAGAAGUGGGAUAAUCCUCUGCAAUGCUAUCAAUACAGUUCAAACUGGAGUUGUGCCCAAGUCAAUAAAAAAUCUUCACUGAAUACAUAAUGUUUGAUGGAGUGACUCAUGAAAAGCAACAUGCACACCUGCAAGGGAAAAACUAGGGAAAUUGCUAGAGACAUUUCAAGUGAUCAUGGAAUGCUUUUCUCUUGCUGAGAUUGUAACCCAAUCAAUAAGCAACUGAAACACAGAAGUUCUUCAUCGCAUGUUAGUUUUGAUCCAUUUCUAAAAAUCACAUGCGUGCACAAGAAAAACAUCUCUUUAGCAGCAAAGAAGAAAGAAGAGUGAAAUACUGAACAACAAUGUGAAAAGUUGGGACAUAGAAAACAAGAUUUUUUUUUUUUUUUUUGUAUUAUAACUAUAUGGAUGUAAAUAAGAUAAUUUUUAGGUAUGAUUUGUUCUUUAUAGAACAUAGGAUGUCAAUAGAUUUUGAUAUAGAUGUAAAUAAAUUUUUACGAGUCCCACACAUUUAACAAAGUUUCAAAACCCGCGGCAUUGCGCGGGCUCUUUAGCUUGUAGUACCUAAUUAUUGGUUUCGUUUUAUAAAUAAUGUCUACUUAGUGGUCUA